CGAAGCGAACCGAGGGAACUGAAACAUCUCAGUACCUCGAGGAAAAGAAAUCAACCGAGAUUCCCCUAGUAGCGGCGAGCGAACGGGGAGCAGCCCAGAGUCUUAAUCAGCAUUAGCAUCAGGAGAACAGUCUGGAAAGGCUGGCAGUAAAGGGUGAUAGCCCCGUAUCCGAAGGUGUUAGUGUUGUGAACUCGACGAGUAGGGCGGGACACGUGUUAUCCUGUCUGAAUAUGGGGGGACCAUCCUCCAAGGCUAAAUACUCCUGAUUGACCGAUAGUGAACCAGUACCGUGAGGGAAAGGCGAAAAGAACCCCGGCGAGGGGAGUGAAAUAGAACCUGAAACCGUGUACGUACAAGCAGUGGGAGCACCCUUUGGGGUGUGACUGCGUACCUUUUGUAUAAUGGGUCAGCGACUUAUAUUCUGUAGCAAGGUUAACCGUAUAGGGGAGCCGUAGGGAAACCGAGUCUUAACUGGGCGAAUGAGUUGCAGGGUAUAGACCCGAAACCCGGUGAUCUAGCCAUGGGCAGGUUGAAG
RNAcentral lists this ribosomal RNA (535 nucleotides) under Arsenophonus endosymbiont of Philaenus spumarius. RNAcentral's name for it is "partial 23S ribosomal RNA". It matches the Rfam family "Bacterial large subunit ribosomal RNA", at positions 175 to 750 of the family's 2925-position model. The record is from RNAcentral. Lineage: Bacteria; Pseudomonadati; Pseudomonadota; Gammaproteobacteria; Enterobacterales; Morganellaceae.